AAUCUAAUCACUAAAACUCAUAUGAUAAAUAUAAAAUUAUUGAGGUAAAUUUAAUUUUUAGAAUUGACAUUAUCAUUGUUAAAGUUAAUAAUUAAAACAAGGAUUAGAUACCCUUUUAUUAUUAAUCAAUAUAGAGUUUGGAGAGUACAGGCACUAAGCCUCAAAACCAAAGAAUAUGGCGGUAUCUUAUUCUAUCAGGGGAACCUGUUCCUUAAUAUGAUAGUCCACGAUUGCAAAGCCUAAGUUUGAAACAUUCAGCUUGUGUACUGCCGAAUUAUAGACUUCUAAAGAUUUGUCUAUAAAAUUAUUUAUAUUAAAUAAAAAGUCAGGUCAAAGUGCAGCUUAUAUUUAGGUGAGAAUGGGUUACAAUUAUAUUUAAGAUUCAAAUUAAUAUAUUCAUUUAAUAUAUUGAUGAGGAGGAUUUGAAAGUAAUUAAAUUUCAUAAAUUUAAUGAAAGUUGAUUCUAAGAUGUGCACAAAUCGCCCGUCACUCCUUUAUAUAGG
Molecule: ribosomal RNA, 503 nt
Filed under: Limnatis cf. nilotica PT-2005
Lineage: Eukaryota; Metazoa; Annelida; Clitellata; Hirudinida; Hirudinidae
Description: partial 12S ribosomal RNA
Source: RNAcentral